GACACACCUGACUUUUUUUUUCUCCAUAGUAAAUGAGGAUAGAAGUUAUCCUCGCUGCGAGCAGCAGCAAAGAGGUGACCUCCUCUCCAGCCACCAUAUGGGGAGGAGGACACACCUGACUUUUAUUUUUUCCAUAUUAAAUGAGGAUAGAAGUUAUCCUCGCUGCAAGCAGCAGCAAAGAGGUGUCCUCCUCCCCGACCACCAUAAGGGGAGCAGGACAGAUCUCGCUUUUCUUUUUUUUUUUCUCCACAGAAAAUGAGGAUAGAAAUUAUCCUCACUGCAAAGCAGCAACAACAAAGGGUGCGGAGGCCCCAACAGAGAUUACUCCGCUCCAUGGAGCCCUCCCUCAACCUUCACCAAGGUUGAGGCUGGAGACAAUCCAACCCCUCCAUCACAGAGGAGUUGGAACGGUGGAUGCAGAGGCCUCAACUCCUCCGCUCCACCUACCUUACUAUACCUUAACAUACUAUACCUUAACCUACUCUACCUUAACCUACUGUACCUUAUCCUACACUACCUUACCCUACUCUACCCCAGAACUACACCAAAUUUAUCUCCUGUCCCCCUUCCCACACCACAUAAGGGGAAGAGGACAGAUAUGACUUUCCUCUCUUAUAUUAAUUAAUUAUAUAUAUAUAUAUAAUAAUAUAUAUCAUUAAUAAUUAUUAUAUAUCAUUAAGAUAAUAAUUAUAUAUCAUUAAGUUAAUGAGGAUAUCCUCAAAAUUUGGAAAUUAUCCACAUAGACAUCAGUUCCUCCAGGCCUCAACAAGGUUGAGGCUGGAGACAAUCCAACCCCUCCAUCACGGAGGAGUUGGAACGGUGGAUGCGGAGACCUCAACUCCUCCGCUCCACCAAUCCUACUCUACCUUACCCUACUCUAACUUAACCUACUCUACAUUAUCCUACUCUACGUUAUCCUACUCUACGUUGUCCUACUCUACUCCAGAACCCCGCCAAAUUUAUGUCAGACUUAUCCUGUCCCCCUCCCCACCCCACAUAAGGGGAGGAGGACAGAUGGGAUUUUCCUCUCGUAUAUACACAGUAAAUGAGGAUAUUCUCCUCAAAUCUCUAAACCGUCCACAUAGACCUCAAACUUCCUCCAGCCAUCUCCAACAACACAAACCUGAUCCUAGCCGAAGACCUGCAGCAACGAUGGGUGCGGAGGCCCCGCCACAAACUCCGCUCCAGGCAAACCUCCAGGCCUCAACAAGGUUGAGGCUGGAGACAAUCCAACCCCUCCAUCACGGAGGAGUUGGAACAACGGCGGCGGCCUCAACUACUCUGCUCCACCUACCCUUACCCUACCUUACCUUACCCCAGACCCCACUAAGUUUUUCCCCUGUCCCCCUCCCCACCCUACGUAAGGGGAGGAGGACAGAUCUGACUUUCCUUUCUUAUGUACGUAGUAUAGUAUAGAAAUAUAGAUGGAAGUUAUCCUCGCUGCAAGCAGCAGCAAAGAGGUGACCUCCUCUCUAACCACUGUAAGGGGAGGAGGACACACCUGACUU
Cyanistes caeruleus (blue tit) is the source of this 1508-nucleotide non-coding RNA. Lineage: Eukaryota; Metazoa; Chordata; Aves; Passeriformes; Paridae. The record is from RefSeq and is a predicted model, not a curated record.